UCUUAUCUUGGCUACUUGGAAGAUGGAAACGCAGUUACUAUUACUGUUGUUUGGUAUUUGGACAUAUCUUCUGAGAGUGAGAUGGGAACAGACAAAUUCAGGGAGAUGGGAACAGACAUAUUCAGUGAAGGUUGGCUGCGUUUAAACUAUUGUGCUCAAGUUGGAAACAAAUGCCUUUUCUUAGGAACUUGGCAGAAGCUAUACAUAUGCAAAUAGAGGUUCAGACACAGCUCCAUGAACAACUAUAGGUGCCUUCUUUGUUCAUGUUUUCGAGCUCUAAUUGGAUGAUGCUGUUGUCGGCGUAUAUUUUUUAUGGUAGGAGCAUUUUUUUCUAGCUUCACAAUAAUUACUGUGCUUUGUGUAGGUAUGAACCCAAAUCAAUAUUUAAAUGGGUGCUAAAUGUUUUUGCAGCAUGGUGGACUUUCUAAUCUGGUCAUAUGUAGUUCGUGUAUAGUAUGGUUUUUUCCCUGUAGUGUGAGAUGUACAUAUAAUGUUCUGUUUGAGGUAUUAUCUAAGAAAAGAUAUAUGUUACCUUACUUGAUUAUAAGCCCAAUGGGUGUAGUUUUUAUUCAGAGUUUACAAGGUUUUACCUUUAUUCUAUGGGUCAUGGUUGAUAUAAUUUCGGUGUUGUGGGUGUAAUCUGUGUCUGUGCCUUUCCUUUUACCGUACUAGGUUAUAGAAAGAAUCAAGAUACUUCACCAAUAGUACCCAACGGGGUAGUUCCUAAGUAUGUUCGUAUUCUCAAAAAAAAGUUCCUAGGUAUGUUCUAAAUCUGAAAAAUGCAUUGCUGGGCGAGGUUGAUCGGUGUACUGGUUUUUCCGGUUCUUGAUCAGUUCUUUGGAGGCCUUGGGCAUGCUUCUUUUUAUAUUUGCAUGGUCUUUUUUCCUCUUUGCUGUUUUCUCUCUUUAGUGUUUCUUUGAUGUUCCUUUCUCGCACCUUUGAUGUUCUGCCUUGGGUGGCCUCUGUCUUGGUUUUACUUUAUUCAUUUUGCCCCAUGUUUACUUUCUAAUGUGUUUUUUGGUUUUCUUCCUUGAUCUGCUAUUUCCUUUGGUGAUCCUUCUUCAUUUAAACAAGUCCACAACUCGAUUGAUUAUAAGCUUCUUUUGUUGCAGCAGUUUAUUUUUUUUCAUCAUCAAGAUUUCUCCAGUUAGUAUUUCUGUUUCGGUGUGCUGUGUGCUUCUUGCCGACGGACCUCCCAUUGCUUAUGUCCUACCAGUAGAGCCAUGCCUCCUUGUCCUGUCUGUCAAAAGCUCGGUACAACCAGUAGCGAGGCACCUCCCUGUGGCGCUGUUCGUUGAAAGCUUUCUUUCUCUUUGUCACAAAUGUCUUCUCAUUAUAUCUGUCCAAUUGAUGAUCCACUAGAUUUGCAGAAAAGUUAUUGGCAGUUGUUGUUCUUCUCUACAUUAGUUUCUGAUGCUAGCAUGCUAAGGUUGAGUUCUUUGGGCUCCAAAUAUAUCUGACCUCUGCUGCUUGUGCUCUCUGGGAGUGGUUUUAAAUGCAUGACCUGUUCAGUUCUUGGUUUAAUAGACCAUUCCUGAUCCUUGCUUUAUUAGGUACGAUAGUUUAUUUGUUUGCUAGCAGUAAUGAAUAUGAAUAUAUAAAUCUCGAGUGUGAGACGCAGACAUGCUAAGACUGUUUGCUUUGAUAAUUUCUGCAGAAAUCGUGCUGCUGCUGUGUGGGUUCCAAACGGUUUGGGAUAAACAAUGUAUAAGUUUACAAAAAGGGUGUGUUUGGAUGGCUAUGAAGCACAUUUGAGAAGUAAGAUCUCUUUUCUACUUUCAUGAGUUGCAUGUUGGAGCUUAUUUUCAUGUACGGUCUUGUUAUUUAAUUAUUCUCCUUCUGCCUCCACCCUGUAAUGGCCGAUACAUGAACUCACAGAAAAACAUUAGGUUCUAUGCCAAGCUGUUGGUACCAUAUAUAUAUACUGGAAGUGGAGUGGUGAUAGUUGAAUGUUUUGCUUCCCUUUGUAGGAACACCGACAUCGCUAGCAGGAGAAAGUAUGUGAGGUUGGUAGAGUCAGUCAAGAAAUAAUGGCGGUACAGUGCACACAUUUCUUACUGCACGCUCUUUAUUCAUAGAUGCUCAUUUCACACUAUGGUCAAUGAGAAUUUUGAACUUCAAUAAACUGUCACACUGUUCUGGACAUGAGGUCUAACAAAAACUAUAGUUCAAUGUAGUGUUUUUCUCGCUUCUUGAUCGAUGUGGCAGAGGCCAUGGACUGCUUGCAAAAUUGUUUUUCCAUCUCUACUAUUUUCUGCCUUUGGAACUACUUAAAUUGAUUUCCUCGUGUUGGUCAUUGUUCUCACUUGGGUGGCCUCUGUCCUUAUUUUUCGCGAAUACGCAAGCGGUGUAUCAUUUUAUUGAUAGGUAGGAGAACAAGAGUUACAACUUACAAGGUGGUAGAUACAUAGCUCGUACACCGGAGGGCGAGGAUGGAUCUACAAUGAGCAGAAGAAGCCGGGGUGCUCAGCCCAAACACAAACAGGUGCAGAGGCAUACACACCUUAUGUCUGUUCACGGGGCAGAUCCGGCUGCCACAUCUUUCCGCCGUGCCAGAGGAAGUCGCGGAUCACCCGGUUGGCUCUCAAGUGGUGGUGUUCAAAGCUACCCCUGAGAAGAUGUGCAUGGGCAUGGCGGAGAGGACAUGACGGACAAGGGCAAGCCUAACACUGGCUACAACUUGGACUCGGCAAACUACAUCAACACGCAUGUAUAGGAGUUUGGAAUAUCCAACAUUUUCUGCUUUUUAUUUACUUCAUCCAAUAUCUGGGAACAAAAUGUGCUUUUAAAUUUGAUCCCCCGUGUGACUUAAUACUUUGAAAUAAUUUUUCAUUACCUAUACUUCUUUAUUAGUUUUAGUUUUGUUCUCUAUACAAUUAGCACAAUUUAUUUGUUAUUUACACUAGCAACUUCAGUUCUGCCUUCCCCAAUACAAAUAAUCCAGGAAGGCGAUUUGCUUUCGUU
Molecule: long non-coding RNA, 2964 nt
Filed under: Triticum aestivum (bread wheat)
Lineage: Eukaryota; Viridiplantae; Streptophyta; Magnoliopsida; Poales; Poaceae
Description: long non-coding RNA (TAES_LNC011283)
Source: RNAcentral